Lolium perenne is the source of this 853-nucleotide long non-coding RNA. RefSeq lists it as uncharacterized. Lineage: Eukaryota; Viridiplantae; Streptophyta; Magnoliopsida; Poales; Poaceae. The record is from RefSeq and is a predicted model, not a curated record.
UCUUGAUGCAUUCUGGUGGUGUUCCAGUCCUUGAGUUCUUUUCCAUCUGUAGUUCGUGAUUUUUUUUCUCUACAUUCUUUUCUGAUCUACUCUGCACUUUGCAUUUUACUUAGUAGUUGGGAUCUUUCCGCGAGGCUGGGGCGUGGGGCCGGCCGGUCGGACCACUGGACCUGGCUGCAGGCCAUGGUCGGGAUCGACGACGCCGCGGCCGGGGACGCAGCCGGCGCGCGGCAGCCCGAGUUGACGCCCAUCUCCUUCGCUUCAGCCACGAACAUCAGCAGGUCGGCGGCGGCGCGGCGAAGCAGCCAGCGCGUGGGAGGACGCAAUACCGCCUAAAUCGGAUAGCGUCGAAGCUAGGUGGACUCAAGGGCCUAGCAACAACUUGCUCGAAGGAAGCCUCCCGCCGGAGCUCGCCGAGCACGAGAGACUCAUGUUGCUCGACCUCUGGAGCCUCAUCGAAGGGCUGUCGGAGUUCCUGCAGUGCAUGGCGUCGCUGAAGGGCCUGCAGCCAACAGCCCGCUCAGAGGUAGGUUAAUGUGCUCUGGCUCGGAGAAGAUGGCGAGCCUGGCCACGCUAGACCUGUCCAAUGCCGGGCUGGUCGGGAGCAUCCCGGAGUCCAUGGCGGCGAUGCCUCCUCUUGGUGCCGAGCAUCGGGGAAUCUACAUGUCGUAGUUUCGGCAUGAUCUAUUUUUCUUCAUGAUGUUUUCGGCAUAGAUGCUAGCUGUACCUUAGUACACAAAUUCGCAUGUUGUUUCAAUUCAUGUCCGCAACUUCUAUAAGUUAUUUGCCUAGCCGCACCAUUCUUGUAUGUACAUUCUUAUGCCAACAGAAUUUACAGCACUAGUUUCUGAUC